UUUAAUUCAAUUCUUUGAAUAAAAUAACUUUUAACUGAAGCUCUUAUCUCCACGUGGACCUAAGGCGGCCGAGGCCGGGAGAUUAAUAUAACAGAUCAAAUUUGGGGAAAAUGAAUCCAAUCCGAUCCAAACCAAAUGAACGCAAAUUGAAGGGAGGUGUAUGCUGGUGGCUAGGUAAGGGAGCAGUGGGCACUGUCUGGAGAGGUGAGGUUCAGGGGCGGGUGAUAAAUGGCUGAGAUAGAGAAGGAGAAGGGCUGGAAUAGUUGUAAGAAUACUAAGAAAGGAGGAGGAGGAGGAGGAGGAGGAGAGCAAGGGUUUUGCAAUGACUACGUGUACAGGAUCAGUACCGCGGAGGAGUGGGCGGAACUGCAGACAAGUGGUUCUACUUUGGGCCGACAAAUUGAUAAAUCAACCGGCUGUAUUCAUCUCAGCAACCUCCACCAGGUUCAGUGGGUUUUACACAACUUUUUCCUGAACUCUAAGGGACAAGACUUGUACCUGCUCCAAAUCGAUGCUAAAAAGCUUGGUGAUGGUUUGGUUUAUGAAGCCGCUGCGGACGACUCCUCCAAGGUCUUCCCUCAUUUCUACGGUCCAUCUCGAAGUUUUGGUCCUCUUCCUCUGGAUGUUGUUACUAAAGCGGAGAAGAUAAUUCUAUCAGGGACAAUGCUACAGUACCUAUAGUUAUGGUAACGAUGUUAAGGAAACCUACUAUUACAGGUUUCUAUUACCUUUAGUGACUAAUCAAAUUUUUUAGCGACUUUUUAAAUAUUAUAUUAAAAUAAUUAAUAUUAACUUUAGUAAGUUUUUAAUUAAAACUAGUAAGUAUAUGCCUGAAAGAUAAGUUUUAGUCAAAAAUCAAAAUUUACCCUUUCAAUAAUUUAAUUUACUUAUUAUUUGACAAAUGUUACUUGUGUUUAAUUUAAACUUACUAAUACUAAAAGUAAAAAAUUUACAUAUUAAAGUAAAAAAAUAAUCGGUUUCUGAAAACGGUUUGGGUUUCCACCUCUCUAAAGUUGCUUCCCUUCUUUUUAUUUUCUUCUCACCUCACGGAAGAUUGUAGAAAAUUUUUCUUGGAAAAGGAAGGAGUACAAUCAUCAUCUUAUGGAACGGGAUUAGCUUUAGCUAAAAUUUAGAAAACUGAUCAAGCGGGCUAAGCAAUUCUAUCAUAUCUUCAGGCUAAACUCUUCUGGUAGGUUUCAUGCCUCAGUCUCUUUUUCUACCUUUUACUAAGCAUUGAUUCUCAUUUCGGUCAAUCAAUUGGCCUGCCUAGGCGCGGAGGAAAAGCUAAAUAUGCUUUAUAGAUAGCACAGGUUCAGGAGAAAGGGUUUCCCCCCCUAUCAAACACAACAAAAGGGUUAGCAACUGUGGUAGCCAAUCAAAGAACAUAUGAAAAAUAGCAGUGACGAGGACUGGAUAGCUCAACGGGAUGGAAUAAGUGAAAGGAAGCAGGGAAGAUUAGCAUUAAUCAUGAAAUUCCAUAUGGAUGGUUCUAGUCAAACAUGGGGUGCAUCGGACACAGUCUCUCUUUUGGUCUUAGUUGUUAUAGGUGUUUUCUGAUUGCGCUACUACUUUUGUAGUUGUGACCCUGUCACAUUUUGUUCAGCUUAGUCAGGGACUAUUAUGCAGUAGUUGUUCUAAUGCUUAACCAUGAUAAAACCUCAGUAGUUUUAUAUAAGCAGCUACUUACUACAUGCUACAUUUUGCUGUAAAGUACUAUGGAGGAUGCCCUUACCACAUUAAUAGCGGUGUAACAUCCAUUCUAUCGUAGGAGCACGUACUCUUAU
This is an RNA transcript of Coffea arabica (coffee), 1784 nucleotides long. RefSeq lists it as uncharacterized. The record is from RefSeq and is a predicted model, not a curated record. NCBI's taxonomy places the organism in Eukaryota, Viridiplantae, Streptophyta, Magnoliopsida, Gentianales, Rubiaceae.